RNAcentral lists this unclassified non-coding RNA (321 nucleotides) under Hevea brasiliensis (rubber tree). Lineage: Eukaryota; Viridiplantae; Streptophyta; Magnoliopsida; Malpighiales; Euphorbiaceae. The record is from RNAcentral.
GGAAAGAAAGGAAAACAUGUGCGAGAGAGACAUUGGAUUAUCAGCUUUUUUGUGGCGUUUACGUUAAGCUGUGAAAAUCGAAAAUCUUAGACACUACAAAAGUACAGGCUUUGGUCGGUUUUAUUUCGUUUCCCUUUUUUUUUUUUCCAAGCGUUCUUGCUGCAAAAAUUUUUCCUGCAAAAUCUCUUCAUAAGCUCGAGAAUUCAUUUCCCAGAUAAGUUUUCCGUGCCGGAGAGAAAUCUUGCUCGUUUUCCUUUUGUUCAAGCAAUAUUUCUAAGCUGAACUAGGCGGCGUUUAUUGUUUUCUGAAUUGGGAUUUGUU